ACUCCUCUAGCUCAAUUGGUUAGAGCAGAACGCUCAUAACGUUUUGGUUACAGGUUCGAGUCCUGUGGGGAGUACCA
This 77-nucleotide transfer RNA is filed under the name bacterium. RNAcentral describes it as "tRNA-Ile". It matches the Rfam family "tRNA". From Rfam's summary of the family: Transfer RNA (tRNA) molecules are approximately 80 nucleotides in length. The record is from RNAcentral.